CCCCCACCUGCCGAUGACAAGACUACCCCAGAGGAGCCUCAAGAGUCACCUCCUAGACCUCCCUUUUACUCCUGCUCUCCACAUCCUAACUAUCCUCUAAAGCUUCGCCUGUCUCGCAUAACCGCCCAUACUCCACCAUGACUCCCACUCUUCUAGGUGGUAUUUUCACAGUCAUCACCCUUUUCCAGGGGACAUCAUCGUCCUCCUCUUAAAGCAUUCCAAACAGCAGUAGUUAGACUCCAUACAGGAUCCAUAUGAGCCUAAUGUGAGGAGUCCACCACAGUAUUCAUGGCUAUGACUACUUACUGAAACUGUAACCUUCUUAAAUCUAACCUUCCCCGCCAUCACACCAACUGAUUGCUACUUAUGCGCCUCUCUGACUCGACCUUUGCUUGCAGCGGUUCCCUUGAACUUCUCGGCUUCUGACCUCUCAAAUUUCUCCACUCCAUCUGCCCGCCAUUCUCUCAAAACCCUUUCACCCAAUGCUCCAUUAUGAGAGCCCGAGGAGUCUAACCAUACUGUGAUUCCCCGGUGCUGCCUUCUGGGCUUGGGUGUCUCCCAGUCAAAGUUUUGCCACUCUAACAUCACCUUUAACUUCACCCUCUAUGCACCACCUGGCUCAUUCUUCUGGUGUAAUGGUUCUCUCAUCACUAUCUUAUUCACCAACACCUCCACCCCAUGUAUACUGGUGACACAUGUCCCACAGUUGACUCUCUAUACCCCAGCUGAAGUGCA
Molecule: long non-coding RNA, 735 nt
Filed under: Marmota monax (woodchuck)
Lineage: Eukaryota; Metazoa; Chordata; Mammalia; Rodentia; Sciuridae
Source: RNAcentral